Molecule: ribosomal RNA, 420 nt
Filed under: bacterium
Lineage: Bacteria
Description: partial 16S ribosomal RNA
Rfam family: Bacterial small subunit ribosomal RNA
Source: RNAcentral
UGGGGGAUAUUGCACAAUGGGCGAAAGCCUGAUGCAGCGACGCCGCGUGGGGGAUGAAGGCUUUCGGGUUGUAAACCUCUUUCGCUAUCGAACAAGGCCCGCCUAGGGAGGGUUGAGGGUAGGUGGAGAAGAAGCCCCGGCUAACUACGUGCCAGCAGCUGCGGUAAUCCGUAGGGCGCGAGCGUUGUCCGGAAUUAUUGGGCGUAAAGGGCUUGUAGGCGGCUGGUUGCGCCUAACGUGAAAACGCGGGGCUUAACUGCGGGAGUGCAGUGGAUACUGGCAGGCUUGAGUGUGGUAGAGGUAACUGGAAUUCCAGGUGUAGCGGUGGAAUGCGCAGAUAUCUGGAGGAACACCGAUGGCGAAGGCAGGUCACUGGGCCAUUACUGACGCUGAGGAGCGAAAGCAUGGGUAGCGAACAGG